CGGUUUCCUCAACGCCACCUCUUUCCCGUCCGAACUGUCGUGAAGGUACCAGUUCAGGAUUCCAGUGUUUCCGUACACCAUUUGCUCGAACUUCCAUGGCUUCAAGCUCGCUGUUGCGGUUUCUCCGACUGCUAAUUUUAUGCCUGGUGAGAUUCUCGAUGGGAAAUGCUUUUCGGAUCUUCCGACUCCUCGUUUUGACAUGAGUGUGUCGUUCACGAGUUGGAUGAUACUGCACCUGUAAGAAUUUGAGGGAGGUACGUUUUAAACUCCAUUGUCAAUGAUAUGUGAGAAUCUGUAAUGUGAAUUACUUCUAGCAUAAUAAAAUGUCAGGUUUGGAAUCAA
Cucumis melo (muskmelon) is the source of this 342-nucleotide long non-coding RNA. RefSeq lists it as uncharacterized. NCBI's taxonomy places the organism in Eukaryota, Viridiplantae, Streptophyta, Magnoliopsida, Cucurbitales, Cucurbitaceae. The transcript is spliced from 2 exons. The record is from RefSeq and is a predicted model, not a curated record.